This 753-nucleotide ribosomal RNA is filed under the name uncultured bacterium. Its description in RNAcentral is "bacterial SSU rRNA". It matches the Rfam family "Bacterial small subunit ribosomal RNA", at positions 28 to 776 of the family's 1533-position model. The record is from RNAcentral.
GAUGAACGCUAGCGGCAGGCUUAACACAUGCAAGUCGAGGGGCAGCAUAAGUACUUGUACUUGAUGGCGACCGGCGGACGGGUGAGUAACGCGUAUGGAGUCUACCUUUUACAGGGGGAUAGCCCAGAGAAAUUUGGAUUAAUACCUCAUAGUAUAUAUUUACGGCAUCGUAAAUAUAUUAAAGAUUUAUCGGUAAAAGAUGGCCAUGCGUUCUAUUAGCUAGAUGGUAAGGUAACGGCUUACCAUGGCUACGAUAGAUAGGGGCCCUGAGAGGGGGAUCCCCCACACUGGUACUGAGACACGGACCAGACUCCUACGGGAGGCAGCAGUGAGGAAUAUUGGACAAUGGGCGAGAGCCUGAUCCAGCCAUGCCGCGUGCAGGAAGACUGCCCUAUGGGUUGUAAACUGCUUUUAUACAGGAAGAAACCUCCCGACGUGUCGGGACUUGACGGUACUGUAAGAAUAAGGAUCGGCUAACUCCGUGCCAGCAGCCGCGGUAAUACGGAGGAUCCAAGCGUUAUCCGGAAUCAUUGGGUUUAAAGGGUCCGUAGGUGGAUAAUUAAGUCAGGGGUGAAAGCUUAUAGCUCAACUAUAAAAUUGCCUUUGAUACUGGUUAUCUUGAAUCAUUAUGAAGUAGUUAGAAUAUGUGGUGUAGCGGUGAAAUGCAUAGAUAUCACAUAGAAUACCAAUUGCGAAGGCAGAUUACUAAUAAUGUAUUGACACUGAUGGACGAAAGCGUGGGGAGCGAACAGG